AAAAUCAGUUUCUAGCUGACAAAGUAGCUGUCUUGUGUUGGUCAAAAUUGUCGCAUAUAGUCCGCGCAUCGAUUUUUCGGUCGAGUGACUUUGCGACCCGUACGGCCAGCCGUGCUUCCUGACGAUCUCCUGUCCAUAAAUUCGAUUCACAGGGACGUGUGCGAAGCAUGCGGACUUAAUAGCUACUACGUUACAAAGGACAUUCCCAUGGCUACGGGAACAGUGAAGUGGUUCAACACCACCAAGGGCUUCGGCUUCAUUCAGCCUGAUCAGGGCGGCACGGACGUUUUCGUCCACAUCUCCGCCGUUCAGCGCGCUGGCCUCACCACGCUUGAUGAAGGUCAGAAGGUCUCUUACGAGAUCGUUCAGGACCGCCGUUCGGGCCGUUCGUCUGCCGACAAUCUCGUCGCAGCAUAAUCGUCAAGAAUAUGCAGAAAAGGCGGGUCUUGAGCCCGCCUUUUUUG
Molecule: unclassified non-coding RNA, 464 nt
Filed under: Brucella sp. 191011898
Lineage: Bacteria; Pseudomonadati; Pseudomonadota; Alphaproteobacteria; Hyphomicrobiales; Brucellaceae
Description: cspA
Source: RNAcentral